UACGUAGGGGGCGAGCGUUGUCCGGAUUUAUUGGGUGUAAAGGGCUCGUAGGUGGCCAACUAAGUCAGACGUGAAAUCCCUCGGCUUAACCGGGGAACUGCGUCUGAUACUGGAUGGCUUGAGUUCGGGAGAGGGAUGCGGAAUUCCAGGUGUAGCGGUGAAAUGCGUAGAUAUCUGGAGGAACACCGGUGGCGAAGGCGGCAUCCUGGACCGACACUGACGCUGAUGAGCGAAAGCCAGGGGAGCAAACGGG
This 253-nucleotide ribosomal RNA is filed under the name uncultured bacterium. RNAcentral's name for it is "partial 16S ribosomal RNA". It matches the Rfam family "Bacterial small subunit ribosomal RNA", at positions 524 to 776 of the family's 1533-position model. The record is from RNAcentral.